CGGAAAGGGGAUGAUUCUACGCGAAAAAAGAAGUCGAAAAUAUAGAAUAAAAAUUUUUCGUUUGAGGCUUUGUUUUCGAGAAAAUCGACUUUGAAUUUUCGCUCGGUACGCGUGCACUUUAUCACGUCUCGUUAUAACGGAUCUCACUGUAGAUCGUUGUCUCGAUGGAUAUUAUCGCAUAAAAAUUUUUCGUUUGAGGCUUUGUUUUCGAGAAAAUCGACUUUGAAUUUUCGCUCGGUACGCGUGCACUUUAUCACGUCUCGUUAUAACGGAU
Molecule: unclassified non-coding RNA, 274 nt
Filed under: Bombus terrestris (buff-tailed bumblebee)
Lineage: Eukaryota; Metazoa; Arthropoda; Insecta; Hymenoptera; Apidae
Description: misc RNA ENSBTSG00005021534.1
Source: RNAcentral